RNAcentral lists this ribosomal RNA (301 nucleotides) under uncultured bacterium. RNAcentral describes it as "partial 16S ribosomal RNA". It matches the Rfam family "Bacterial small subunit ribosomal RNA", at positions 509 to 807 of the family's 1533-position model. The record is from RNAcentral.
CAGCCGCCGCGGGAAUACAGAGGGUGCGAGCGUUAAUCGGAUUGACUGGGCGUAAAGCGUGCGUAGGCGGCUUCUUAAGUCGGAUGUGAAAUCCCUGAGCUUAACUUAGGAAUUGCAUUCGAUACUGGGAAGCUAGAGUAUGGGAGAGGAUGGUAGAAUUCCAGGUGUAGCGGUGAAAUGCGUAGAGAUCUGGAGGAAUACCGAUGGCGAAGGCAGCCAUCUGGCCUAAUACUGACGCUGAGGUACGAAAGCAUGGGGAGCAAACAGGAUUAGAUACCCGUGUAGUCCCUGUCUCUUAUAC